GGUGGCAAGCGUUAUCCGGAUUUAUUGGGCGUAAAGGGAACGCAGGCGGUUGCUUAGGUCUGAUGUGAAAGCCUUCGGCUUAACCGAAGAAGUGCAUCGGAAACCGGGCGACUUGAGUGCAGAAGAGGACAGUGGAACUCCAUGUGUAGCGGUGGAAUGCGUAGAUAUAUGGAAGAACACCAGUGGCGAAAGCGGCUCUCUGGUCUGUAACUGACGCUGAGGUUCGAAAGCGUGGGUAGCAAAC
This 244-nucleotide ribosomal RNA is filed under the name uncultured bacterium. RNAcentral's name for it is "partial 16S ribosomal RNA". It matches the Rfam family "Bacterial small subunit ribosomal RNA", at positions 530 to 773 of the family's 1533-position model. The record is from RNAcentral.